AGGAAGCAUCCACAAGGACAGCCCCGCUGCUAAGUACCUUCUUGAGCGUGGUGUAGAUCGCAGGGACUUCAAUUCAUAUGGUAGCCGUCGUGGCAAUGAUGAAGUAAUGGCACGGGGAACUUUUGCAAACAUUCGCAUUGUGAACAAGCUCUUGUCUGGAGAAGUGGGACCAAAAACGAUUCACAUUCCGACGGGAGAGAAGCUCUAUGUAUUUGACGCGGCCAUGAAGUACAAGGCUUCUGGGCAUGACACCAUUGUUUUGGCUGGAGCAGAAUAUGGGAGUGGAAGCUCCCGGGAUUGGGCUGCCAAGGGUCCCAUGUUGUUGGGAGUCAAAGCAGUUAUUGCGAAAAGUUUUGAAAGAAUCCAUCGCAGCAACUUAGUUGGAAUGGGCAUAAUCCCUCUAUGUUUCAAGGCUGGCGAGGAUGCUGACACACUAGGCUUGACAGGUCGUGAAAGGUAUACAAUUGACCUGCCAAGCAGUGUCAGUGAGAUACGACCUGGCCAGGACGUUACUGUGGUGACCGAUACUGGAAAGUCUUUCACUUGUAUUGCUCGCUUUGACACAGAGGUCGAGCUGACAUACUUUGAUCACGGAGGCAUUCUGCCAUAUGUCAUCAGGAAUUUGAGCAAGUCUCAAUAGUUAAUUAAACCUUUAUCUCACAGAUUUAAGCUGUGUAAGUUUUACAUAAUUGCUGGAUGUAUGUCGUGGUUUCCAUUUGCCUAGUCCAGCAGAAUCGAGAUUGCAAUAAAGGGAACAGGGAGG
Molecule: unclassified non-coding RNA, 763 nt
Filed under: Hevea brasiliensis (rubber tree)
Lineage: Eukaryota; Viridiplantae; Streptophyta; Magnoliopsida; Malpighiales; Euphorbiaceae
Source: RNAcentral